AGGACUGAGACUGAGGAGAUCUUGGCCCACAGGGGCUCCCCUGGGGGCACUGCCCAGGAGACAGGGGAGGAGACUAGACCAGGGCCUCCAAACCUGCCACUCGCCAGAAAGGACUUUCCAAAUGGAAAAAGCCAUGGGGACUGUUGCUGUCAAUGUUGGAAGUUCUCCCUGCUGUCUGCCCUCAAGGCUUCCCACUGUACUGCCCUGGCCCUGGGCUCACCUGAGAUUGCUGGGGAAAAGAAAGGGUCAACCAGGAGGUUUAGACACGUGGAGAAGGAGUGUGCCUGGCUCUACCAGUUGGAACUGGGAUCAGAAGUGGAGCUCAGGAGGCUGGUCCAGGGAGAAUGCAACGCUAAGAGAAUGCUGCUGACAAGCCCAGCCUCAGGCUGGAGUCAGACUGCCCUGAUAUUACAUUACUGAGGCAGUAUAACUUUGUGAAAAGAACACUAGGCUGAGGCUGACAACACCAAAUGCUGGCAGGAAUGUGGAGCAACAGGAACAGGAAUUCGUGGCUGAUGGGAAUGCAAAAUGGUACAGCUACUUUGGAAGAAAGUGUGGCAGUUUCUUAAAAAACUAAACAUACUCUUACCAUACAAUCCAGGAAUCAUGCUCCUUGGUAUCUACCCAAAGGAGAUGAAAACUUACGUCCACAUGAAAAUCUGC
This 663-nucleotide non-coding RNA is filed under the name Pongo abelii (Sumatran orangutan). The record is from RNAcentral. Lineage: Eukaryota; Metazoa; Chordata; Mammalia; Primates; Hominidae.